GCCUAACUGCAUGGCGGGAAACCCUCAUCGAUCACGAACGUGACCGUUGAAAUUUCCUGCGCUUGAACCGGACAUGACCGGACACGUAACGCACUCGGAGGAACUGGGACAGGAGCGCCUGAGGGCACGAAAGACAGUAUCUGUAGCAGGAGGUGAAAGAUGAGCGAACAUCACUAAUGGUCCAAGUGGGAGCGGCGCCGCACACACAGCGGUGAGCUGCGCCAGAACGGAGUUCCAGCGAAAGCCGCGUCCUCUCCUGCCGCCCCGCAGUCUAAGGAAUUGUCCAAGCCCUGUUACUUCUUACCCACAGCGAUGCUCUUCACCAGGACACCUUUUUCCCCACAUUAAUGAGAAUUAACCGGCCAUUCCUUCUGUAAGCUACAUUCUGCGCCGCCCUCCUCGGCAGAACCGUCAUCCUCUUUAACAAGAAUGCUAACUGGCGCGGUGCUGCGCUCCGCUCAUUGCAGCGAAUCCUUCCAAGCGACGAGAAUCGAGCGAGUUCUGUAAAGAACGGCGGAGCUCGAGUGUCUGCCACCGGUACCCAGAUGAUGUUCAUCUUCCCUACUGACCGUGGAAUGCCCGUGUUCUCCGAUUUCACAUUCCCAUGCUGGGCCUUAAACAUGUCUGCUUUCUCAUGGAGGGGACCCCGGGUUCGAGGCGGGAGCAAAGGGAAGUUUUACUGCUGCCACAAAGUGAAACAAGCAGACUUUAUUAGUUCUUCCAGCCAAGGCGGAGGGAAGCUGUAAGCGGGAGAGAGAAGGAGGAAGGAGCAGAUUUUUCCACGCCGCGAUAAAUCCAGAGCGGCGUGAGGGGUGCCGGGCGACGAACGCUCCGCUCUGGGCUCCUGUCUAAGGUGGAAAGAGGGGGAAAUGAGCUCCAGGAGCAGCCCGUUGUCAGUCAUGUGGCCUUAAUGAGGUCCAUACACUGCUUUUUCUCUGGCUCACACACACACACACACAUACAUAACCAGAAGGCCUGUGCUGGAAGGACAGAGCCGAGCAAAGCGCUAUUUCGCUUAUUCAUUGCCAUUAUAUCGCUAAACUAGCGUGCUGCCGACACGUAAAGCAAUUCGAAGGACGUGUGAUGGCAGCGCCCAGGAACUUGCUUAUCGCUGUAAGGUUGUAAUGAGUCUCCUGGCCUCCAGCUCUCUUUGCUCGUUUUGUCUGAAACAUAAAAUCACUCCGAACGCCCGCGCUUUUAUAUCCUCUCAAGACUCCUGUUAGAGAUCUUUUCCUUUGGUUUGUAUUGUUUACGAGAGCGCAGAUCACUGCUCUGUUUUACAACCCUGGGCCGGUCUCCAACGUCGAAUGAAUUAAAUGUGCUUGCGUCUCUUUGAAGGUUACGCUCCUGCCAAAAAUGUGCGCUCGGCUCAAUAAAAACCGCGACGCGCUAAUGGCUUUUGUUUCUCCGGCGAACCGGCAAUUAAUGUUUUCUUUCCCUUCUCUCUCUCUUUUUUUUUUUUAACCGAGGACCCGCGGAGCAGCAAAUCAAAAGUGUAAUGAAUUAAAGUUUAUAAUUGGUCGAGGAUCGAAAAUGACCUAAUGACCGAAAUGUGCAGCUGUUAAAAAAGCCUGAAUGCGUUUACGAUGUUGGAAGCGGCUUAGUGUUCAUUUCCUCUCUAUUUUUUGGGGGGGGUUGCGACCGCAUCCACUGCAAGACAUUUUUGCUGCCUCUAAAUGAGAUUGACGUUUCUGCGUGUGACCGUUCGGACAGAGCGACGCUCCCGAGCGAUCGCCGCUUCGCAUUUGGCGCCCGUGCCGCAGAAACGCAGCCCUCCCGUGAUUGAAACGUACGGAAUUUGGUAGCCCGAGAGUCGAGCUCUGCUGCGCCUGCUCACGCACGUGUCCGGUGGAGAAGACCGUGACCUCUCACCUUUCAGGUGUCCCCCAUUCCAGCUGGUGAUGACUUGUGAUUUUUUUUUUAAAAUGAACGACUCCUAUAAGAGAGUGCUUUUAUCGCUGCUCGCUGUUUUAGUGGAACAUUUUACAGAGGGUUCAAGUGCAGGGCUGUUUUUUAACAGCUGCUUAACUGUUUCGCCACCUGCUGCCUGGCAGUUUUCGCUGUCCUCUCCAAGUGAGGACAGACUCCUCUGUAUGGAAUGGUGAACAAUUCGCAAGUGACUCACUUCAUACAGGUUCUUUUAAUGUUAUCCUUCGUUCAUUUUCCGACACUUUAUUUCAAGAGUGACUCACGAUGUCAGCUUUGUACACUAAGCGUGUUACACUGAUUUACCCAUUUAUAUAACAGGGUCGUUUUUACUGUAUCUGCUCAGGGUAAGUACCAUAUUGCAAGGUAUUGCAGUGGGAGGGGGUGUUCGAACCUGGGUUCUUUGAACGCAAGGAGAUCUCUCUAAGCACUGUGCCACCUAAUGCUGUUAAAGCACGUUGCUUAAGGGUACAACUCCCACUGCAGCUUCCUGUCCGGGUCUUUAAGCUCUAUGCCACCUGUGUGACCUGCGUGACCCCCGAGCCCCGUUUGGUCCAGGAUCUGUCUCCCGAGCGCGUACGACGGACUGCUGUGUCCAUCUGGCCCACGAGCCAAAUCUGUCUGCGUCCACACCCCCCCCAACCCUACAGUGAACACAUGCAGCGCUCGGUGCCGCCCGCGACACUCGCCGCUCCCUUUCACAGCCAAACAUUUAGCCGCUGUUGCUAAUUAGCCACUCUGGGAGGAGGAAAAACGUGGCACUUCAAAAGGCCUUGUGCAUUUGGAGUCUCCGUCAGCAUCUCCCCCCUCGGGGCUCGGAGGUCACUCUUCUCCGCCAGAGGAGGUAGGGCGUCCAAAGAUGCGGACUUCUGGACCCUAACCUCUAACCCCCAGCUGGACAAAUGAAAGCCAGGCGGGCAGCGGGAUCCGCCAGCGUCCCAUGCGGAGAAAGGGAGCACAUCAAAGGGCCUGUUGGAAAAAGACGAGAUGUGAGAGUGUGUGUGUGUGUGUGUGUGUGUGUGUGUGUGUGUGUGUGUGUUGGG
Scleropages formosus (Asian bonytongue) is the source of this 2969-nucleotide long non-coding RNA. RefSeq lists it as uncharacterized. The transcript has 5 exons. The record is from RefSeq and is a predicted model, not a curated record. NCBI's taxonomy places the organism in Eukaryota, Metazoa, Chordata, Actinopteri, Osteoglossiformes, Osteoglossidae.